This 463-nucleotide ribosomal RNA is filed under the name uncultured Sphingobacteriales bacterium. RNAcentral describes it as "bacterial SSU rRNA". It matches the Rfam family "Bacterial small subunit ribosomal RNA", at positions 920 to 1382 of the family's 1533-position model. Lineage: Bacteria; Pseudomonadati; Bacteroidota; Sphingobacteriia; Sphingobacteriales. The record is from RNAcentral.
CCCGCACAAGCGGAGGAACAUUGUGGUUUAAUUCGAUGAUACGCGAGGAACCUUACCUGGGCUUAAAUGUAGAGUGCAUUUUUUAGAGAUAGAAAGUUCCCUUCGGGGCUUUCUGCAAGGUGCUGCAUGGUUGUCGUCAGCUCGUGCCGUGAGGUGUCGGGUUAAGUCCCAUAACGAGCGCAACCCUUAUCGUUAGUUGCCAGCUGGUAAAGCAGGGGACUCUAGCGAAACUGCCACCGUAAGGUGAGAGGAAGGUGGGAUGACGUCAAAUCGGCACGGCCCUUAUGUCCAGGGCUACACACGUGUUACAAUGGCCGGCACAGAGGGCAGCUACCUGGUGACAGGAUGCUAAUCUCGAAAACCGGUCUCAGUUCGGAUCGAAGUCUGCAACUCGACUUCGUGAAGCUGGAUUCGCUAGUAAUCGCGCAUCAGCCAUGGCGCGGUGAAUACGUUCCCGGGCCUU